CGAUCCCUCCUCCCUAUUAUUUCUCUCUUCCCCCAAAGGAAAUAUUCUACCGUCCCUUACUCUCUCUCCCACAUGGAAACUAUUCCAAUCCAACCGGCUCAUCCUCUCUCAUGCAAGCAAGUUGGGGCAUGGAUCUGGCGUGCUCUAUGAAACAAGAACGUGUGAAGGACACUUCUCUUUCCAUGUUGUUCCGUGCAAAAAAAGAGGAAACAAAGGGGAAAAUCUCACCUAAUUGACACCCCUCUCUCUACCUGUAGGUGACUUACGUGAGAUUGACUUCUCUUUGUUCUAUACUAAAAUCUCAUCUCACUGUCACGCCUGUGCCUGCAUUGGAUUAGGUGACUUACGUGAGAUUGACUUCUCUUUGUUCUAUACUAAAAUCUCAUCUCACUGUCACGCAUGUGCCUGCAUUGGAUUCGCCAUGCAAUCUGGGGGAGAAAUCUCAUUGGUCUUUGUGUACCCAUACACCUCAUCCAUGUGUUGCGGCAGUAGCCAAAAGUUGUGAUGUCGGCCAGUCGUGGAUUGAAGCCCUGACUGAGGAGCCUCUGAUUGCCAGUGGACUCCCCAACAACUACUCAUCUAAGGAGGGCCACAAUAUUUGAUGCAUACUGAAUCCGGAGGUAAGAAGCCUACAGAGCACAUCUUUAAUACACAACUGAUUUGGAGAAAGUGGAUGCUACACAUGAUCAUGCACACGGAUGUCGUUGUUGAGAAACUAUCUUAUCAUUCCACCAUCUAAGCAGGGCCAGUAUGGCUGGGCCAAUGGAGAUGUGAAGGUGUUGAUAUAAUACAAGGAAGCAUUCAGAAACCAAAGCAACUGAGAUAUUUCAAGGAUCAAAACAAGUACUCGCAUGAGCAAAUGAAUUCAAAAGGAUAACUAUGAGCAAGUAAAUAUGUUCCCUAUUUAAAAAAUAUAAAGCAAGAGUCGAUUGAUGAUGAAGUCAUUAUAAACCAGACUAAAAGUUUUAGGACAAGGAGCACAAAUCGUGUUAUGCAUCCUUGUGAAGACUCAAACACUGAGGGAAGUCGGGAAACAAAUGAACUAAAAUUCAUGGAAUCAGUCUGCACGAGGAAGCAUCCCACAUGUUUAAAAUAAAAAAAAUACAGUCUUGAUGAUGCAAAAUCUAGAAAGGAAGUUACACAGAAGCAUAAAUAUUAAAGAUUCCGAACAAUGUGUAAUGGGGUGAUAAACAAUCAGUGACACGAUGCCUUCAGAACUAAGGUUUAUCAAGGAAUCAAAAGAUAGAUAGCACAUUCGGGAAUAUUUGGUAACAAUUUGGUUGUAAUAGAAUGUAUGAGAACAUCAGAUUUGUAUGUUAGAUAUACUUUAUCAUUAAUGCCUUUCCUUUUAAGUCAACGAAUUACUAA
Molecule: long non-coding RNA, 1368 nt
Organism: Triticum aestivum (bread wheat)
Lineage: Eukaryota; Viridiplantae; Streptophyta; Magnoliopsida; Poales; Poaceae
Exons: 5
Source: RefSeq, a predicted model, not a curated record